GUCUACAGCCAUACCACCCUGAACAUACUCAACCCUGUCUGAUCUCAGAAGCUAAGCAGGGUCAAGUCUGCUUGAAGGCAGGGUUGAAUGUGUUGAAGUAUUUGGAUGGCAGACC
This 115-nucleotide ribosomal RNA is filed under the name Colobus angolensis palliatus. The record is from RNAcentral. Lineage: Eukaryota; Metazoa; Chordata; Mammalia; Primates; Cercopithecidae.